AGAGUUUGAUCCUGGCUCAGGACGAACGCUGGCGGCGUGCUUAACACAUGCAAGUCGAACGGAAAGGCCCUUCGGGGUACUCGAGUGGCGAACGGGUGAGUAACACGUGGGUGAUCUGCCCUGCACUUUGGGAUAAGCCUGGGAAACUGGGUCUAAUACCGAAUAUGACCAUGCGCCUCCUGGUGUGUGGUGGAAAGCUUUUGCGGUGUGGGAUGGGCCCGCGGCCUAUCAGCUUGUUGGUGGGGUAAUGGCCUACCAGGGCGACGACGGGUAGCCGGCCUGAGAGGGUGACCGGCCACACUGGGACUGAGAUACGGCCCAGACUCCUACGGGAGGCAGCAGUGGGGAAUAUUGCACAAUGGGCGCAAGCCUGAUGCAGCGACGCCGCGUGAGGGAUGACGGCCUUCGGGUUGUAAACCUCUUUCAGCACAGACGAAGCGCAAGUGACGGUAUGUGCAGAAGAAGGACCGGCCAACUACGUGCCAGCAGCCGCGGUAAUACGUAGGGUCCGAGCGUUGUCCGGAAUUACUGGGCGUAAAGAGCUCGUAGGUGGUUUGUCGCGUUGUUCGUGAAAACUCACAGCUUAACUGUGGGCGUGCGGGCGAUACGGGCAGACUUGAGUACUGCAGGGGAGACUGGAAUUCCUGGUGUAGCGGUGGAAUGCGCAGAUAUCAGGAGGAACACCGGUGGCGAAGGCGGGUCUCUGGGCAGUAACUGACGCUGAGGAGCGAAAGCGUGGGGAGCGAACAGGAUUAGAUACCCUGGUAGUCCAA
Molecule: ribosomal RNA, 773 nt
Filed under: uncultured bacterium
Lineage: Bacteria
Description: bacterial SSU rRNA
Rfam family: Bacterial small subunit ribosomal RNA
Source: RNAcentral